AUCCGGGCUGUCUCAUGGGUACGAGUUCAGAAAGGAAAAGUUCUCUCUGAAGCCACCCCCUUCUUCUGGCAGGUGGGGUAGGACUUUGAGCUAAGCCGGGCUCUGUGUGUGUCUGUGGUGUUGUCGGGGAGGUUGGGAACCAGUGAGGAGCAGGAUCCCUCUGUUCCCAUCAAAGUUGCUCCUAUCAGAUCCUUCCUGCUCCUUGCCUGGGCUGUCUGGUGCCUGCAUCUUUCUCUAAACAGAAAGCUAAAUGGGGAUUCCUUGAGUCUGGACCUGGGAAGUUCUUGGGAAAGUGUCUGGCUCUCCUAUGGUCACAUCCGCCCCCCAUGGAAUCAGUCAGUCAGUCAACAAACACGGGAGGACCUGGAACUUGUGCCAGGUGGAAAAGAAGCUUCAGGUGCAUCUUUGCCCUCAAGAAAUCAGCACCUAGCUGGAGAAAAACAAGGUGUGCCAUGGAAAUCAAGAACUGGGAGGCCUCUGGGAGCAGCCCUUCCCCGUGGCACGGACAUCCUGGAAGGCCAAAAGUGCUGGGCGGGGCCUGCUCCUAGUCCUGGCAGCCGGAGCAGAGAGAAAGAGAAUCUGGGAUUCAUUGUGCGGUUGUUCCUAACUUCCUUCUGCUUUCGAGAUCCUCUUCUAAGGGAGAACAAUGCCCUGAACACCGAGGCCCAGGCUUCCUUGGCAAUAGCCCAGCGCUGGCGUUGGGGCAGAUGGGGUUUGACUCUGGACUCUGAGAAUCGCUGGGGACAGUGGGGUUUGGGGCUGGUUCGGGUCCCCGCUUGUGGAAAAAGUCCCCUUCACCCCCGUCUCAUGUAUACAAGUUCUUGUGGAACUGUCCCUGUUUGCCAAGGAAGGACAGUCCAGGGGCUACCAGGUUCUCAGGCAGCUGGGUGGAGGGGCCUGGAGCUGCCAGCUCCCUCAGGACCUCGGUCUGGAGCCAAGAGCCUGCUGCUGCCACACCCCCAGCCCAGGAGGACAGAGGAGGCUCCUGAGAACCUCUCCCUGGUGGAAGGGUCCUGCGCUGCAGCUGGUAUGUCCACAGCCAGGCUUGUAAGGCCAGCGGGGGGCAGGAGGCCUGUGUCCAGGGAGUGGGGUGGGGCUUCCUGCCCCUGCCUUCACACUUGGCCUUUCUUUGUAGAUUCCAGUACAUUGACCAGCCCUUCUAGACCCUUCAUCAUCAGAAAAAGAGUUGUGAAGUGAGGGACCCGCAUGCGGAGAGGAGAAGAGAGGCUACAGGGGAGGGUGACCAAGGUCCCAGCCUGUGGAGCCUCCUGGGAAGGAUGAGGUGGGAGUGGCAGGUGG
This 1299-nucleotide long non-coding RNA is filed under the name Marmota monax (woodchuck). The record is from RNAcentral. Lineage: Eukaryota; Metazoa; Chordata; Mammalia; Rodentia; Sciuridae.